AACGAACGCUGGCGGCAUGCCUAACACAUGCAAGUCGAACGAGACCUUCGGGUCUAGUGGCGCACGGGUGCGUAACGCGUGGGAACCUGCCCUUAGGUUCGGAAUAACUCCCCGAAAGGGGUGCUAAUACCGGAUAAUGUCUUCGGACCAAAGAUUUAUCGCCUUUGGAUGGGCCCGCGUUGGAUUAGCUAGUUGGUAGGGUAAAAGCCUACCAAGGCGACGAUCCAUAGCUGGUCUGAGAGGAUGAUCAGCCACACUGGGACUGAGACACGGCCCAGACUCCUACGGGAGGCAGCAGUGGGGAAUAAUGGAAAAUGGGCGAAAGGCUGAUCCAGCAAUGCCGCGUGAGUGAUGAAGGCCUUAGGGUUGUAAAGCUCUUUUACCCGGGAUGAUAAUGACAGUACCGGGAGAAUAAGCUCCGGCUAACUCCGUG
Molecule: ribosomal RNA, 433 nt
Filed under: uncultured bacterium
Lineage: Bacteria
Description: partial 16S ribosomal RNA
Rfam family: Bacterial small subunit ribosomal RNA
Source: RNAcentral